UUCCAGCUCCAAUAGCGUAUAUUAAAGUUGUUGCAGUUAAAAAGCUCGUAGUUGAAUUUCGGGGUUAGUAGGUUGGUCAUGCCUCCGGUAUGUACUGAUCUCACUGAUUCCUCCUUCCUUAUGAACCGUAAUGCCAUUAAUUUGGUGUUGCGGGGAAUUUGGACUGUUACUUUGAAAAAAUUAGAGUGUUUAAAGCAGGCUAACGCUUGAAUACAUUAGCAUGGAAUAAUGAAAUAGGACGUUCGAUCUUAUUUUGUUGGUUUCUAGGAUUGACGUAAUGAUUAAUAGGGAUAGUUGGGGGCAUUAGCAUUCAAUUGUCAGAGGUGAAAUUCUUGGAUUUAUUGAAGACUAACUACUGCGAAAGCAUUUGCCAAGGAUGUUUUCAUUAAUCAAGAACGAAAGUUAGGGGAUCGAAGACGAUCAGAUACCGUCGUAGUCUUAACCAUAAACUAUGCGACUAGGGAUCGG
This 468-nucleotide ribosomal RNA is filed under the name uncultured Glomus. Its description in RNAcentral is "SSU rRNA". It matches the Rfam family "Eukaryotic small subunit ribosomal RNA", at positions 583 to 1056 of the family's 1831-position model. The record is from RNAcentral. Lineage: Eukaryota; Fungi; Glomeromycota; Glomeromycetes; Glomerales; Glomeraceae.